Cinara cedri is the source of this 635-nucleotide non-coding RNA. The record is from the annotation of a GenBank genome assembly. Lineage: Eukaryota; Metazoa; Arthropoda; Insecta; Hemiptera; Aphididae.
AGUACGACCCUCUAUCUAUCUGCGAAUCUCGUUAGCUCGAGAUGUUUGUCGGAACGUAUAAAAGUAUACGUCGCACUCGUUAACGAGUUCGGACCUAGACGGGUAUAGGUCGAACAGGUCGAAAUUUCGCUCGCUCAUGAGUCCGCCGUCGUAAUGUAUCUUUUAUUAUCACCUGACGGAUAAUCUGUGCAGCGUGUAUAAUUAUAUUAUAAUAACAGCGGUUUUCGAUCCGAGACCAUUUCCUGUGCAAGUAAAAAAAAGAAAAAAAACACCUGCGAGUAUAUUCGUUGUAAUAUAAAAAUAUGGUUUAUGAGAAAAAUAGGCGAUAACCCUUUCAGAAACGUUUAGAAAAAAUUCGUUUUUUUUUUUUUUAAACGCUUUUUAACAGUAUACAAAUAAUCAGACAAAUUUUACCGCGUCUAGAAAAAGUCAAAGAAAACAUUAUAGAAAAUAAUGAAUUGAGCCGUUUUUUCCGUACAUUUUUUCGUUUUGCUUAUUUUUUCCUUCAGUUAAUCCAAAUCAAUAAAAAAUCCGAAAGGAAAAUCAGAAAACGAUUUUUCGACUCACAACUCAGAUACAGUUUAUUUUAAAAAAGAUAUUAUGAUUGAAAUACGGAGUAAGAUUUCUAGUAGAAA